This 505-nucleotide ribosomal RNA is filed under the name uncultured bacterium. Its description in RNAcentral is "partial 16S ribosomal RNA". It matches the Rfam family "Bacterial small subunit ribosomal RNA", at positions 28 to 507 of the family's 1533-position model. The record is from RNAcentral.
GACGAACGCUGGCGGCGUGCCUAAUACAUGCAAGUAGAACGCACAGUUUAUACCGUAGCUUGCUACACCAUAGACUGUGAGUUGCGAACGGGUGAGUAACGCGUAGGUAACCUGCCUGGUAGCGGGGGAUAACUAUUGGAAACGAUAGCUAAUACCGCAUAAUAUUGAUUAUUGCAUGAUAAUUGAUUGAAAGAUGCUAUUGCAUCACUACCAGAUGGACCUGCGGUGUAUUAGCUAGUAGGUGAGGUAACGGCUCACCUAGGCGACGAUACAUAGCCGACCUGCGAGGGUGGGCGGCCACCCUGGGACUGUGACACGGCCCAGACUCCUACGGGGGGCAGCAGUAGGGAAUCUUCGGCAAUGGGCGAAAGUCUGACCGAGCAACGCCGCGUGAGUGAAGAAGGUUUUCGGAUCGUAAAGCUCUGUUGUAAGAGAAGAACGGGUGUGCGAGUGGAAAGUUCACACUGUGACGGUAUCUUACCAGAAAGGGACGGCUAACUACGUG